GGGGUAAAUGGACGGUCAUGAAGGUCCAUUGCCUGGAUUGGUGCCCUCCAUUGCACGCGAAGGAGGGGUGCCCGUCCAAGGUCUGCCCGUAGUGGCAGAGCCUACGUCAUAAUUUGUGGUAGUGGGGGCCUGCGUUCGCGCGGCCCCUUCCAAUGCCCUCAGUCCCUACGUAUUUCUUUUUACUAUGAUACAGCUUAAGACGCCUUUGGCAGUCUCCAGUUGGUAGGUGCGGUCGGCACUUAUGAGAGAGCGAAGGUUGUUAAUGGGAAGACUUAGAUCAACCUGUGAACUCUCACAAUCGAUGAUCGGAGCAUUAAGAAGUUAUGUUGCUGCAAGGGGCCAUAUCCCUGUCAUUUUCCUAUCUUGUAUUUGUAAACAUUUUCUUUAUAACUCCCAUGAUUUGAAACCUCAAAAAACAGUCAUUGCAAUACCCUCUUUGGAAUAGGAAAAAAAUCUUCAAUAGAGUAUUUUCUAAAUCACAGGUACUCGACUCUACAAAUUUCUUUUGUUUUAAGUUAGAAUAAGUGAAACAAUUGAGCCAUCUGCUGAAAUACAUAUUGAAUUCCGUUGGCAAGGCUGGAUCGAUUUUGAACCCAAACAACAAUAAUUUCAAAACAAAGAGGGACCCAAGCUGUAUCCAUGUAUUUGAUAUUAUUAUAGACUGUAGCAGGAGCCACAAAGAAUGGUCUGAUUUAUAUAAAAUAAAAAUUGGAGGUUUUGUAAUUUUAAUUAAAUUUAAUGCAAAAGAUAAGAAGAUAAACCAAAUAGAUUUCAAUUAAUUUUCUUUAUAUUCCUUCCUAAAUUAAUUAUUGUGGGUUCGGUAGCCCUUAACAACCCAUCUCUUCUAACUUUAGAGAAGCUAAUUUUAAUUCACCAUAUGCAAUAUUAAUAUUAAUAUUAAAGCACAACUUUCAACUGCUUUCACCAUAAUCACCCUACUCAUAACUAAGACCAUCCUUCAAAUGAUGCUCAUGCCAUUAACAUAUGUCCAACCUAAACCAACUCUAACUCAAUAGCAGAUACAACCUUUAUUAUUAUUGCAAAAGUCAAUUAACCUACUCAACCAAGAUCUAACUAAAAAUAAAUGAAGGAAGAAAGAAGCAGUCAUAGAACCAUUAUCUAAAGGCCGAUGUAGAUUGACUUACUAUCUACUUAAAAACAACACUUUUAAAUCUUCAUAUCGAUUUCAUAGAAAAUCGGGUUUGGUCUAGCAUUAUGAAUCAGGAUGAUCCUUCAAAUGUGGAAGAUCAUUCUACCGAGUGCAUAUCAUGUUUAGAAUCACAAAUCUCUACAAUGGUAUGAUAUUGUCCACUUUGAGCAUAAACUCUCGCAGCUUUACUUUGGUGUCUCAUACUAAUGGAGAUAAUAUUCCUCACUUAUAAACCUAUGAUUAUCUCCUAAAUUAGCCUUGUGCUCAAAAUGGAUAAUAUCAUAUCAUUGUGGAGAGUCGGUGAUUUCUAACAUGCAUAUCAAUUAUCAAAUUAGUAAUACCCAAUUCUAGAAAUCUAAAUUCCAUCUAUAAGACCCAUCUAGAAACGAUAAAAAUGCUAAAACUUGGUAUUCAUUCCUUGAAAAUCUUGGCAGCAUCUUAAUAUAUAGUUUGAGCAUCUUAUAAAGA
Molecule: long non-coding RNA, 1618 nt
Organism: Cucurbita maxima (winter squash)
Lineage: Eukaryota; Viridiplantae; Streptophyta; Magnoliopsida; Cucurbitales; Cucurbitaceae
Exons: 2
Source: RefSeq, a predicted model, not a curated record